AAAGGGACGGCUCUUGAUGCACGAGUAUUAAAAGAGUGAGCAGACUGUAAAGACAACACUUCUUUAUUGAAGGCAGAGACGAACAUUUUACAUUCAUCCCCAGAAGACAAAGGUGCAACCCAACCCUCCACUGUACAGCUCUCAGGACCAGAGCCUGUCUUCUCCAGACUACAAGAUGAGAACUGCAGUAUGUGCCAUCCUUCUCCUGAUGCUUCUGUGUCAAGGAGAAGCUCUGAGAUGCAACCACUGCAUUGCAGCUGGGAGCAGAAUGUGCACGCCAACCUUCACAGAAACCUGUUGGGACAGUUCUGAUGUAUGUGGUGCCGUCUCAUUCGGAUCAAGCACACUUCGUCAAUGCAUGCCCAGGUUGGUGUGUCGGGGAUAUAUGGCAUCGCCUGGUAUAUCUGCAAGAUGCUGCAGAACUGACCGCUGCAACUGAGCCUCUUCAUCACCGGCUGGACCGCAUCAUCUCUGAUCUCUGGAAGCUUCUCUGUUGGCUCCACUCUGUUGCAUUCAGAUGAAAA
Molecule: long non-coding RNA, 524 nt
Organism: Cololabis saira (Pacific saury)
Lineage: Eukaryota; Metazoa; Chordata; Actinopteri; Beloniformes; Belonidae
Exons: 4
Source: RefSeq, a predicted model, not a curated record